UCAUACUAGCCGGGGCGGUAGCGGUGCCCUAUACCUGAAAUCCGCUAUAGCAGGGGGGAAUUCCCGUUUUUGAGGGUUAUUCUUGUGUGGUCAGCACCUUUAGUUGAAAUGAUGACAGAUGAGUCUUACGCAAUUGUCGGCUAUGAACCGUGUCAGAUGGGGGACCAAGCAGCACUAAGUGGUUGUGAUGAUGUGCCGUGAGGGUGCUUGUCUCGAGUGGAUGCUAUCGGCUAGCGCAUGUAAGGGUAAUUCGAAAUUCGGGUGUAUGA
This 269-nucleotide signal recognition particle RNA is filed under the name Clostridia bacterium. Its description in RNAcentral is "signal recognition particle sRNA large type". It matches the Rfam family "Bacterial large signal recognition particle RNA". From Rfam's summary of the family: The signal recognition particle (SRP) is a universally conserved ribonucleoprotein involved in the co-translational targeting of proteins to membranes. Archaeal SRP consists of a 7S RNA and homologues of the eukaryotic SRP19 and SRP54 proteins. Lineage: Bacteria; Bacillati; Bacillota; Clostridia. The record is from RNAcentral.